This 74-nucleotide transfer RNA is filed under the name Devosia sp. SCN 66-27. Its description in RNAcentral is "tRNA-Ile". It matches the Rfam family "tRNA". Rfam says of the family: Transfer RNA (tRNA) molecules are approximately 80 nucleotides in length. Their secondary structure includes four short double-helical elements and three loops (D, anti-codon, and T loops). Lineage: Bacteria; Pseudomonadati; Pseudomonadota; Alphaproteobacteria; Hyphomicrobiales; Devosiaceae. The record is from RNAcentral. RNAcentral also lists the same sequence under 1 other name.
ACUGAUGUAGCUCAGACGGGUAGAGCAUCGGACUGAUAAUCCGACGGUCGAGGGUUCAACUCCCUCCAUCACGG